This 4283-nucleotide long non-coding RNA is filed under the name Anas zonorhyncha (Eastern spot-billed duck). Its description in RNAcentral is "lncRNA (ENSAZOG00000003243.1)". The record is from RNAcentral. Lineage: Eukaryota; Metazoa; Chordata; Aves; Anseriformes; Anatidae.
GCAGAACUGGUGCUAACACAGCCUCGCUCCAAGCACAAAGACAAACUGUUCAGCGUCGUUUCAGGAAGCAAGGUUUUCAUCGGGCUGGCCCAAGCAGGUUUUAUGAGCCUCCCUCAAGUCCAUCUGGGUGCAAGGGGGGAGCAUAAGUGCUUUCUGGAGAGUUGCUUCACUUCACAGUUUCUGAAGGCUUAUGCUAAAUCACAGCCUGAACACUCAAAACCAGCAGCUUGAUGGCUUUGCCUCUCAUCUCGUAGUGAAAUGAUGGGUGCUGAGGUGAGAAGGCACCGCCGGGAGAGACCUGGGUAGGCACCGGUGUGCACGGAAGGAAACAGAAGGACUCUAGCUUGGAUUAGCAGUGUCUGCCUGCCUCCAAGGUGGGUUUCUCAAGGCUGAGAGCACCAGGAUAUCCCUCCAGGCUGAUGCUUCUCUGGAAGGCCUUGAAUGUGAAGGUGCUUUGUCAUGGGAACUGCGCCAUAUAUGGGCUAAGCAAAGCUAUUUGCAAAGCUCUAGUCGAAUGCAGUGGGUCAUUCCAGCCAGGUAAAACACCCAGCACUUGUGGGAAUAGGUCUUCAGUCAUUUCUGACUUACUGAAAACAGUUUUUUUCAAUUUUUUUCUUUUUUUUUCUUUUUUUUUUUAAGCACUGUUUUGUUCAGACAUUUUGCUGGAUGACAUUUUUAAACUGCAAAGUCUGGAACCAAAACUAAAAACAAAAACAAAAUGAUCUUUUGGGUUGGGCAGUCUUGUGUUGAUCGUGAAAAAGGGUUUUGGAAAUAUUUUUUUUUGCUUUGGCAAAAGAACCUGACAAUAUUUUUAGUUAUGGGUUGUCCUGAGAGUGUUUUUUCCCUGUUUCUUUGUUGUUGUUCAGUCUUUGAGGAGCCCUCCAGAUCCAUCCAACAUUCCUGCUAGCUGAGAUGUUGGGGAUGCAUCACGCAGAGGGGGGCACACCUGGGCCCAGCAAGACCAACUGGGUGCAGAAUGAGGGCAGGAGUGGCUCUGACAGCAGAUUCCUGGUGACACAGUUGAGAGUAGAUGCGGAUGGAAAUUGUUUACCCCCGGCUUAUGUGAGCAAAGAGAUUUCCGUGCCUCUCUCUGCCUGGCCUUCAGCACCAAAUGGCUGUCCGCACAGGGAUUCGGCUCGUGCUCAUCAGUAGAUCAGCUUCUCUCUGCCGCCCCUUGACCUUUGUAAAGAAGCAGAGAAGGGAGAGAGCAAUUCUACCUGAGCUUCUGCAUCUGCCACAGGAACUUUGAUAAACUUGAGCUGUAUUACUCACAGGUAACCAUUAAACCUAAGAUGCACACACGGAACAUGAACAGUUGCAGAGGUGAAUGAGGGAAGCUUCAGAUAGAGAUUGGCGUGCCAAGAUAAGGGUGUAGGGCUGGGGUAAGAAGCAAACAUAUUUAGAAGCGGUCAGUGGCAGCUGGGUCAGUGAGGGAUAACCCCCAAACCCCCCGGUGUCUGUUGGGUGAGUCCAGCCUUCCUUCCACUGGUAAAAAAACGCUUCUGCAAUGUGGCUGUGAGAGGUAGGUACGAAACAGGAGAGCUUAUGAGAGGCUGACUUUCAGGAGGCAUCUGAGGACAACCAGCAGACCUCACAGAGGAGGGAACAUGGCCUGAAUGUUACAAUACACUUCCUUUCUGUUGUCGUGCUUAAACCUGAGCAGUUUAAACUUGUGACAGGCCCUUGAGCUGCUACCUCAGCUAUUCCCCACUGACAGGGGGGUUAGCUAUUGCAGGCCAGCCUGGCUGCCCUGUGCUGGGCUGUCAGGAGCUGACAGCUGAUCAUUCUGCUGUUUGUUUGCCCCGCUCCCUGCCAACCACAAGUUCGAGUUUUGAAUUUAAACAUCCUGAGUAGCAAGGACGAGAUCUCUAAAUGGCACCUCCAGUUCGUUGCCAGGGAGGUCUUGCAUCCAGAAGAUACAAACAGCUCAACAAAGCCAAACCUAGGGAGAAGCAAUCAGACCACAUUUUCCACAGCACUGGCUUCCCAAGUAUGUGUCUGCUGGUUGUGGCUCAGAGACUUUCUCCUCUGUUAGCAUGCCCAUGCGAGGGACUGGCUGACCCACUGUGUCCAUAUCCUCGUGUUCAGCAUUAGGAGGAAGAAAAGACCAGGCAGUUCUUCCAGCUGACUGCUUCUGCUUCCGCCGGAGGCAUGGACUCCUGAGGCACAGACUCAGCUUGGCCCAGGAACAAUCGGGAAGGUUGAAUUUUGGUUGUCUCUGGAUUUUUUAAAUACCAUGUUAAAGCCCUAUUUUCCUUUGGGGGAUGUGGAUAGUUGAGUAUUGUCCAGCAGAAUCUUGUUGACUUUCUGGUGAGCUUUAACUGUAAAUAUUUGAACAAAAAUUUUUCUUUUCUUAGCCUUAGCAAAAUUUAAUCCUUCUGUACAUAAUGAAAUCUGGCUUAAGUCACAAGUGAAAACGAGAGUGGUAGUUUCGGGUGAUUCCUGAGUGGGUGUCAGUUCCAGUCAGCGUGCUGCCCAUCCUGGGUGGCAGCGUGCUCAUCAGGAAGGGCUGGGAGGGCAGCUGGGACAGCUGGGCAGGGCAGAGGUGCAUUGGCCAGGUUUAAUCUGCUCCUGAACAGGAAAGCAGGAGGGCUGCGUGUCUUAUUGGAUGAAAUGAGACAAAUGAGACAGGGCUGUCAGGAGAGUUGCCAGUUCUCACCUCUUCCCUUACACGUUCAUGAUCGUGUAAGGGAAUCCCUGUAGCUUGGGACCAGGCUUGCUAUAAACCCCAGUGCUUAAGCUGAUUGUCAGCCCAGCUUUAGGUGAAAUCCCCCUCUGCUCAGCUUGCUCAUUUGCUUUACUCCCUCUUCUUCUUCCUUUGAUCCAUUGCCUUUGUCACGCAGAAGGAUGGUGAAGAGGAGGCAAGAAGCUCUCCAGGUACCUCCACCUUCCCUCCCACCUCCUGUCUGCCUGAUUCAUUCCUGGAGAACUCUGCUACUGCAUGGGAUAGGGAUGCUGAGCUCCCAGAGGGCAGGCUGAGUCUGAGGGGUGGAAGAGGAGCACAGUGUAUGCAUUACCAAAGCAGAAGUGGGAAGAACAAAAAUGUCCAGGGGGGCUGUGAGGUAGGUGGGCAUGAUAAGAAUGCUCCUACAGCCCCAAAGGACCACCCAGGGCUCGUACACACUGGGGCUGGGAGGAGGCAGAAAGAUUCAGUACUACCAAGCUGACCCAAAUGUGCAACGUGAUCCUCAGAAAAACAAAUUCCUUAAAUAAGGAGUCUGAGAGGGCUGGGGUUCCUCAGAGCCGGCAGCGUUAGUGCUGCUGGAGGUGAGUGGAACGACAGGUCAGGAGCGAGGGGCAGAGCCAGCUGCCGGGGCAGCGGGUCAGGAUCAGGGCACUGGCAGAAGGGCUCUGCAGUUCUGAACAGAACACAGAUUUAAAGCAUUGAUGUUUUCAAUGAUCAAGGAACUGACAGCUACCCUCCUGCAGCCCUCCAGUGCCUUGAAAUCCCACCUUCCUUUACGAUAAACAGGUGCCUCACUGAGAUAGAUGUCUUGAGUGGAAACAUCUGGAAGCCCCCAGCCUUCACCCCAAAUUCACCCUGCUCAAGACACCCAAGCAGGCAGGACUGUUCCUCUUGCAUGCAGACCCUCUGCCAAGGGGGGUGAGUGCAGGACGCUUUUAAGGCUGUGCUCCUGUGCUUUGACCUGGGAACCCUGUCUGUGUCUGUGUCUGGGAACCCAUCAGGGAGGGAGGUGUGUGUCUGUGGUCCAGCCGUGCCCCGCUGCCUGUUUCAGGCCUUGGAUUCAGCAUAGGGACCAACUUCUGCUGUGUCUUGUGUUCCUGCCAUUCCUUCUGGGGGAGGAAAGCUCUGCUGUGCUGCUUUUGGCCCCUUAAAGCAGCAGAGUGCCCUUAGCAGCAAGGCUCAGGCCUUAGAAUAAAGCUCUGCAUAAAUGUCUUCAGGCUUCUGGGCACAUGCUCUGCUUCCCUGUGUGCUGCAUGGGCUCAGCCGAUCUUACGGCUGCCUCCUGGGGAUGGGAGGGCAGCAGGGUUUGUGGUACUUCUGUGGUGCUGCCUGAGCUCAGCGGUAUCACAGACCUGGCACUGAUGGCAGUGCAGCUUUUGCUGAGGGCUGUGCCAGAGCACCCCUAGAAACCGGUGUGUAGGGGAAGGACGGACAGCCCCGCUCCUGCCAUUUGGAGCAGCCUUUUUACACAUGGAUAUGGGGAGGAGGCAGGUGAAAAAGGAUGGCAACACCUUUGGGGAGCCGGGUGCCUUCCACCACAAUCGUGGCGCUGUGGUGGCAGAAGGUCCCCGGCUCUGGAACCGGACAUAGGGCAGGC